This 500-nucleotide ribosomal RNA is filed under the name uncultured bacterium. Its description in RNAcentral is "partial 16S ribosomal RNA". It matches the Rfam family "Bacterial small subunit ribosomal RNA", at positions 28 to 507 of the family's 1533-position model. The record is from RNAcentral.
GACGAACGCUGGCGGCGUGCUUAACACAUGCAAGUCGAACGGGUCUGCCCUGUUUUUUGCGGGGUGGGUCAGUGGCGAACGGGUGAGUAACACGUGAGUAACCUGCCCCUCACUUCUGGAUAACCGCUUGAAAGGGUGGCUAAUACGGGGUGUUCUGGCUGUGCCGCAUGGUUUGGCUGGGAAAGAUUCACUUUUGUGGUGUUUUGGUGGGGGAUGGGCUCGCGGCCUAUCAGUUUGGUGGGGGGGUGAUGGCCUGCGAAGGCUUUGACGGGUAGCCGGCCUGGGAGGGUGGGCGGUCACAGGGGGACUAAGAUACCGACAAGACUCCUGCAGGAGGCAGCGGUGGGGGGUAUUGAACGAGGGGCGGCAUGCUGAUGCAGCGCCGUCGCGUGAGGGAUGGAGGCCUUCGGGUUGUGAACCUCUUUCGCCGGUGAAGAAGGUCCUGCUCUUUGUGGUAGGGUUGACGGUAGCCGGGUUAUGAAGCGCCGGCUAACUACGUG